GUGGGGAAUUUUGGACAAUGGGCGAAAGCCUGAUCCAGCCAUGCCGCGUGCAGGAUGAAGGCCUUCGGGUUGUAAACUGCUUUUGUACGGAACGAAAAGACUCCUUCUAAUAAAGGGGGUCCAUGACGGUACCGUAAGAAUAAGCACCGGCUAACUACGUGCCAGCAGCCGCGGUAAUACGUAGGGUGCAAGCGUUAAUCGGAAUUACUGGGCGUAAAGCGUGCGCAGGCGGCUAUGCAAGACAGAUGUGAAAUCCCCGGGCUCAACCUGGGAACUGCAUUUGUGACUGCAUGGCUAGAGUGCGUCAGAGGGAGGUGGAAUUCCGCGUGUAGCAGUGAAAUGCGUAGAGAUGCGGAGGAACACCGAUGGCGAAGGCAGCCUCCUGGGAUGACACUGACGCUCAUGCACGAAAGCGUGGGGAGCAAACAGGAUUAGAAACCCUUGUAGUCC
RNAcentral lists this ribosomal RNA (450 nucleotides) under uncultured bacterium. RNAcentral's name for it is "partial 16S ribosomal RNA". It matches the Rfam family "Bacterial small subunit ribosomal RNA", at positions 354 to 796 of the family's 1533-position model. The record is from RNAcentral.